Dendrothele bispora CBS 962.96 is the source of this 104-nucleotide non-coding RNA. The record is from the annotation of a GenBank genome assembly. Lineage: Eukaryota; Fungi; Basidiomycota; Agaricomycetes; Agaricales.
GCAUUAAUGGGGUAGUGGUAACCUGGGUCGUUGCCAUGGGACAUGUGAUAUAAGGGAGCUGAUCAUCGCUCGACCCGCCGGGGGUUCGAUUCCCCCUUAAUGCC